GAAAUGCGAUAAGUAAUGUGAAUUGCAGAAUUCAGUGAAUCAUCGAAUCUUUGAACGCACAUUGCGCCCGCCGGCCAUUCCGGCGGGCAUGCCUGUUCGAGCGUCAUCUCAACCCUCAGGCCCCGCCUGGUGUUGGCGGCCCGCGGCCCCCCAGCGGUCGCGGCCCCCGAAAUACAGUGGCGGUCCGCCCCGGCGCCCCCUGCGAAGUCGCUAAAACUCGCUUCGGGCCGUCGCGGCGACCUGCCCACCCGCGCCCUGUCCCGCGUCAGCGGGCAGCGCGCAAAGCAGCACAGGUUUGACCUCGGAUCAGGUAGGAAUACCCGCUGAACUUAA
RNAcentral lists this unclassified non-coding RNA (333 nucleotides) under uncultured Physalospora. RNAcentral's name for it is "sequence contains ITS1". The stretch from base 1 to 106 matches the Rfam family "5.8S ribosomal RNA", at positions 50 to 154 of the family's 154-position model. The record is from RNAcentral. Lineage: Eukaryota; Fungi; Ascomycota; Sordariomycetes; Amphisphaeriales; Hyponectriaceae.